Melospiza melodia melodia is the source of this 1044-nucleotide long non-coding RNA. RefSeq lists it as uncharacterized. The record is from RefSeq and is a predicted model, not a curated record. Lineage: Eukaryota; Metazoa; Chordata; Aves; Passeriformes; Passerellidae. The transcript is spliced from 3 exons.
UGCACAAGGAUGAACCUCCCAAAAAACUAUAUGCUUUAUCUCUGAGUCCUGAGGCUGCUACCAAAGUUGCACUGUCAGAUGAGAUACACUACACGCUGGAGAAAUGACAGGUGUUUUCAUACCUGCAUUUUGACUACAUUACCUGCCUCUUACUCUUAUGGUAAUUUUAAACCACUUCACUGACUUGAACAAAAAGGCUGCAGAUAACUGCAGAAUUCAGCCCACUUUUUCCACUGACCAAGUGAAAAAGCUGGCUGCAGGGAAGACAGAAGAAUGCAAGAUUUACAGCGGAGGGACGGAGCCAACCCUGUGUUCUGAUUAGCAGUUUGGAUGCCAUUGUUCUGUCUGGAAAACACAUGUCAUCCUCAGAAUCACCCAAGCUGUCCAUUGACAUCUGCCAGCAUAUCCUCCAUCACCUCGCUCUUUCUUUUUUCUCACUUUCUCUUCCUUACUCCUCUUUCCUCAUUUCCCUGCAUAUUCCAGUGCAGUCAGGAGCUUCCCCUUGUAAAAAGUGAUGUGGCUUCCACCCCCCCACAAUAUCACCUUCUGUGUCAAGCUGACCACCUCAAAACAACAGAAAAUAGACAGUUCCUCUGAGUCUCCUCACUUGUAGGAUUUGUGCUGUGUUUCACUCUGGGGACAGAAAUUCAUAAUAGCCCAGAGGCUUCAUAUUUUUAAAAUUGUCACACUAAGACUUGACUGCCUCCAUGAAAGGAGCAGUAGAAAGAGAUGCCUGAAGGUAGGCUGGGAAGAAUCCAAAAUGAUGUCAGGUUUCCUUCUACCUUCCCAUCAAUAGGGUCUUUGAAGAAAAAGCCUCUUCAGAGAAGAAAAAAAUAACUUUCUCUUUAGUUAAAAGGGCUACCAUGGUUGCAGUUUGGAGACUGACAGUUAAUGUUAGUUUUAUUACCUUAAAAUCUAUACAGCCUCAUGGUUUGCUGUGGAUGGCUUUGCCUCCAUGAGUUUUGAUGAUGUCCUUGAAAGAGAAAUAUAGAUGCAUAGCUUCAUUCUGUGUUGACUUUGGUGGUGAAUAUUUUAUCCCCUUUC